Bombyx mori (domestic silkworm) is the source of this 78-nucleotide non-coding RNA. The record is from RefSeq and is marked provisional. NCBI's taxonomy places the organism in Eukaryota, Metazoa, Arthropoda, Insecta, Lepidoptera, Bombycidae.
UAAAUUACACGACCGAACAUCUGAUAAUAUACUAUAUGAUAUGAUAAUAUAUUAUCAGAUUUUCGGUCGCGUUAUUUU